Cucurbita pepo subsp. pepo (vegetable marrow) is the source of this 750-nucleotide non-coding RNA. NCBI's taxonomy places the organism in Eukaryota, Viridiplantae, Streptophyta, Magnoliopsida, Cucurbitales, Cucurbitaceae. The record is from RefSeq and is a predicted model, not a curated record.
ACGUGGACCUUAUUUCCCUCAGGUUGGCUGGAAUCCAUUUGAUUGGUUUUCACUCAAGCAGAAGAGCCAAUUUUGCCCUCAAGCUUGUUCCAGAAAGCAUGGCCUCUCUUUUCCCGGCAAAGGGGAAUAGUUACCGGAGGACUGAGUCAAUGUAGCGAGAUCUGAGUUACUACUCACCGGAAGGCCAACAAAUCUCUAUCUUCCUUCAGCCCUUCACUCUCUUUAUCUCUGCAAACGAUUUGCAAGGGAAAACCAAACAAAAAGAUAGAGGGUUUUGUAUAUUUGCAGAACUCUUUGAUCAGGAUAAUUGAAGAUGUGGAGUGAGAUAGAAGCAACGACCGAGGAGCAAAACUGGAAAUAACGGUGUAAUUAACUACCACAGCCCGUUAAGAAUCGAGCCUGGGAACUAGCACAUGAGCUAACGGAAAAUCAAGAGAAUGACGUGGCAACGUCGUCUUGAUGUGGUACUUGUUGGAGGGUUAAAUAUUCGAUGAUGGGGUCUCCUGCUUUAACGGCAAAACUACGAUGUUAGGGCUUUGGCGUUAAGAUCGAGAAAGUGGUUUUGGUUCUCUCUUAUCCAUUCAAUCGCAAAAUCUCAUGACGUGACGGAACCGUCACUGACGUCGUUACUAGUCCCCGUUGCUAGAGUAGCAAUCUAGUGCGGGCACGCUCUUCAGUUGGUAGUUGGUUGGUGGAUUGCGUGGUACGUAUAUGAUUAAAUAAUAUGCAAUAUCAUUGAUUAUUUCAAAA